Molecule: small nuclear RNA, 162 nt
Organism: Acomys russatus (golden spiny mouse)
Lineage: Eukaryota; Metazoa; Chordata; Mammalia; Rodentia; Muridae
Product: U1 spliceosomal RNA
Exons: 1
Source: RefSeq, a predicted model, not a curated record
AAACUUACGUGGCAGGGCAGAUACCUUGAUCAACUCGGUGGUUUUUCCAGGGUGAAACAUCUAUUGCAAUCCUAAUGUGAUGACCCCUAUGAUUUCUCUCAAGGCAGGAAACUAGACUACAUAAUUUGUGGUAGUGAAGAACUAUAUUCACACUCUCUUCUU